RNAcentral lists this ribosomal RNA (809 nucleotides) under uncultured archaeon. RNAcentral's name for it is "bacterial SSU rRNA". It matches the Rfam family "Archaeal small subunit ribosomal RNA", at positions 85 to 879 of the family's 1478-position model. The record is from RNAcentral.
ACUGCUCAGUAACACGUGGCUAAUCUGCCCUUAGGACGAGAACAACCCCGGGAAACUGGGGCUAAUUCUUGAUAGGUGAAGAACUCUGGAAUGAGUCUUUGCCUAAAUGGAUUCACGUUAUCCUCGUGAACCUGCCUAAGGAUGAGGCCGCGACCGAUCAGGUUGUUGGCGAGGUAAUGGCUCACCAAGCCUUUUACCGGUGCGGGCCGUGGGAGCGGGAGCCCGGAGAUGGGUACUGAGACAAGGACCCAGGCCCUACGGGGCGCAGCAGUCGCGAAACCUUUGCAAUACACGAAAGUGUGACAGGGCUAUCCCGAGUGCCAUCCGCUGAGGAAGGCUUUUACCCAGUCUAGAACGCUGGGGGAAUAAGGAGAGGGCAAGUCUGGUGUCAGCCGCCGCGGUAAUACCAGCUCUCCGAGUGGUGUGGAUGUUUAUUGGGCCUAAAGCAUCCGUAGCUGGCUAGGUAAGUCCCUUGUUAAAUCCACCGAAUUAAUCGUUGGAUCGCGGGGGAUACUACUUGGCUAGGGGACGAGAGAGGCAGACGGUAUUUUCGGGGUAGGGGUGAAAUCCUAUAAUCCCGGGAAGACCACCAGUGGCGAAGGCUGUCUGCUAGAACGCGCCCGACGGUGAGGGAUGAAAGCUGGGGGAGCGAACCGGAUUAGAUACCCGGGUAGUCCCAGCUGUAAACGAUGCAGACUAGGUGUUUGGACGGCCACGUGCCGUUCUAGUGCCGCAGGGAAGCUGUUAAGUCUGCCGCCUGGGGAGUACGAUCGCAAGAUUGAAACUUAAAGGAAUUGGCGGGGGAGCAC